UUUUAUUGUUUGAAUAUAAUCAGUUAUGUUUAUUGCAUUUCAUUCCUUAUUUUGAAAUUACGAAGUAUCUUGCACAGCUAUCCGCCAUUAAAUGUUUCCUGAAAGAACUUGGAGCUGUUACAUCUUGAAUUUUGUGGAAUUUUGCGAAAAAAAAUAAAAUUUUGAUAUCAUGAAGAAAUAGAUGACACUUAUGGAAAAUUUUUGGAUGGAUUCAUUACGAACUGCCUUCAUUGACCUGUCAAUUGGUCAUAAACCUGAGUCCUUUCAGCCUUUAGAUGAUUUAUUUACAUAGAUGACACUUAUGGAGAAAAUUACAUAAUUGGUGUAGGAGUUAAUAACAAUAACCGCUUUCAUUGAGAUGGCAGUUGGCCAUAAACCCUAGUCCCUUCAGCCUAAAGAUGCAUUAUUUACAUAGAUGACACUUAUGGAAAUCACUUCUUUUUUGUAAAAUGUUGUUACCCUUAAAGAAUAGCUCUGAAGAUUGAACCAUUAUCUUUGACAAGUUAGCAUGUGCUAUACUCAGUUGGAACGAGGCACUUUGACUACUUGUUUUGUGGCUGCUUUCCCUUGGAAACAAAAAUAUUGAUGUUUAUUAAAUUUUGUUGCUGGAAUUCAUUACAAUUCUUGAAAUAACAAUUUUAAUGAUAUAAAAAAAUACUAACACUAUUGAAAAUGAUCAAAUUAUGCUAAUUUAUCGUUAUUUCAUAAAAUUUUACAUCCUGAACGACCAUGGUUUGUCAACCAUGUACACUGGAGGUAUUCAAUCAGAAAAACAAAAAGUAAACUUCUAAACAAUUUAUUACAGUAAUACAAUAAUUGAACUAGAAUAAAGACUGCUAAAAUACAUAAGUACAGUGAAGUAAGUAUGUGUAAGAAAUACAAAACUUACGCCUCAAAUAUCUGGCUCACUAUUAGUUGCAUGGCAAUUACAUAUUACUAUCUUCAAUAAAUUCUAAACUUGCUCAGUCAAAAUAGUUGAUCCAGUGAUAGAUACGUGAAUUAAAUGAAGAUAUACUGAAUUAUGCAAUUAUUUUUCAUUGUUAUUAAGUACCUAAACAUAUGAAACUGUUUUUGCGCCAAAUUACGUUUUUCAUUUUGAAUUUCAUAUAACUUACUAUACUUUGCAGCACCUAGUAACAUCCAAUUCAGGAUAGAAUCCUUAAAUAAAUUACAUUCAGUCGAAUUCUACACUUAAAAUGCAUGUCAUUUCAAGCAAUGGACGAUGGUCAUAAUAUAAAACAGUUUUCUCAGUCAUAACACUUCGAAAAGCAUUUAUCUUUCUUCUGAACAAUCGAAUAGUCAGUAGAUGUUCAUAAUUACUAGAAAACUACAUUCAUGCAUU
This is a long non-coding RNA of Harmonia axyridis, 1342 nucleotides long. RefSeq lists it as uncharacterized. The record is from RefSeq and is a predicted model, not a curated record. NCBI's taxonomy places the organism in Eukaryota, Metazoa, Arthropoda, Insecta, Coleoptera, Coccinellidae. The transcript has 3 exons.